This 45-nucleotide non-coding RNA is filed under the name Echinostoma caproni. Lineage: Eukaryota; Metazoa; Platyhelminthes; Trematoda; Plagiorchiida; Echinostomatidae. The record is from RNAcentral.
GUCCUGCCGAUGAGACCCAACUAGGUCGAAACAGUUGUCCAGUGC